GGGGGGAGGAAACCCUAGUAAGAGAGGAAGCAAAUCAAAUGCGGAGAGAAAAUCAGAGACGCAUUGGAAUUGAAGAACAAGAAAUGGCAAGAGAUUGAUGGAUCAUUCCGCAGAGAGUAAAAAAUCCGAGAUUGAGUGCUCUUGAGAGAGGGAAAGGUAACAUCAGGGCUCUCAGAAGCAGAGGGGUAGAGAGAAUCAGAGAAAGCAAGAGAGAGAGAGAG
Molecule: unclassified non-coding RNA, 221 nt
Filed under: Hevea brasiliensis (rubber tree)
Lineage: Eukaryota; Viridiplantae; Streptophyta; Magnoliopsida; Malpighiales; Euphorbiaceae
Source: RNAcentral